AAAAAGGAGACCAUGAGAUAAAGUAAGAAUUACGUUAAAAAUGAUAAUGUGAAAGGAUAUAUUCUAAUAAAACACAACUUAUAGCCUAAAAUUAAAGGAACACUAUAGGGUCAGGAACGCAAACAUGUAUUCCUGAUUCUUUAGUGUUAAAUCCAUCAUUUAGGUGGCUUGUAUAUUAAAAGGUAAUAUAACUUAUCUUAUUUCCAGCGCCGCACGGGUCUGCCGGAGGUGGCCGUGCCCCGUUCCGUCUCCUUGCUGACAUCAUCAGAAGGUAUGAUUUCAGCCAAUACCAAGAUUUCCUAUAGGAUGAAAUCGGCAAGAGGUGGGACUGGAGUUUCCAAACCCCAGCUUGGCCAAUCAGCACUUCCUCAUAGAGAUUCAUUGAAUCAAUGCAACUCUCUGAGUAAAGUUUAGUGUCCUCAUGCAUAGGGUGGAUACACUGAAUGGCAGUGAUGCACACUGUGCAGCACUUCCCCAGGAAGCACCUUCAGUGGCAUUCUGAGGAGUAGCCACUGGAGGUGUCCCUAGGGGGCAAUGUUAUCACUUUUUCUCUGAAAAGGUAGUGUGUAUUUGAAAAUGCCUACAGGGAUAGUCUAUACUCACCAGAACAACUACAUUAAGCUGUAAUUGUUCUGGUGACUAUAAUGUCAAGAAAACCAAAAAAGGAAUACAUAAUACUGGCACUAUUAUCGGUACAUCGAACUGCGGGACAUGGGAACACACCCAUAGGAUAACCUAGCCUAACCUUAAGACCAAAGCACCUACGCUUC
This is a non-coding RNA of Pelobates cultripes (western spadefoot toad), 770 nucleotides long. Lineage: Eukaryota; Metazoa; Chordata; Amphibia; Anura; Pelobatidae. The record is from the annotation of a GenBank genome assembly.